GAUGAACGCUAGCGGCAGGCUUAACACAUGCAAGUCGAGGGGCAUCGCGGUGCAGCAAUGCACUGGCGGCGACCGGCGUACGGGUGCGUAACGCGUAUGCAACCUGCCCCGCACCGGGGGAUAGCCCGCCGAAAGGCGGAUUAAUACCCCAUGGUCCCGGGGGCCCGCAUGGGCAUCCGGGUAAAGCCUUGGCGGUGCGGGAUGGGCAUGCGUGCCAUUAGCUGGCUGGUGGGGUAACGGCCCACCAGGGCAACGAUGGCUAGGGGGUCUGAGAGGAUGGUCCCCCACACUGGUACUGAGACACGGACCAGACUCCUACGGGAGGCAGCAGUGAGGAAUAUUGGUCAAUGGGCGGAAGCCUGAACCAGCCAUGCCGCGUGCGGGAUGAAAGGCCCUACGGGUUGUAAACCGCUUUUCCCCGGGAAGAAUAACCCCGAUGAGUCGGGGGAUGCCGGUACCGGGGAAUAAGGAUCGGCUAACUCCGUG
RNAcentral lists this ribosomal RNA (486 nucleotides) under uncultured bacterium. Its description in RNAcentral is "bacterial SSU rRNA". It matches the Rfam family "Bacterial small subunit ribosomal RNA", at positions 28 to 507 of the family's 1533-position model. The record is from RNAcentral.